Molecule: long non-coding RNA, 3285 nt
Organism: Canis lupus familiaris (dog)
Lineage: Eukaryota; Metazoa; Chordata; Mammalia; Carnivora; Canidae
Exons: 10
Source: RefSeq, a predicted model, not a curated record
CAAAUUUUAAGCCAUAUAAUCAUUAACUUCUCCAAAAUGAGAAGUCGGUGUUUUCCUCACUUUUACGGAAAGGCUUAAUCAUGCAACUCACUUGCUGAAGCAGCAGUGAAACACUUCAAACUGAACCUUGAAAUCUGUGGCAUCUCCAACAUGACAAAGACAUGGUCCCUAGAACAAAGAGGCUGCAGACCACUGAAUGCAACAAACAGGACAAAAUAAAAAUGAAGUGAUUUGAGUAUGUUCGUGGAGUACUGCAAGGUGCUGUGAAGUCUGAAGAUCACCUCACAGAACUCUAUCCAUAAAUAGAAGGAUUGGAAUUUUUCUUUGUGCUCAGGAAAAACUUAACUGAAAAAGAAAAGGAAGAAGGCACGCAUAAAGAAAGUUUAAAAAUCAGGUUAAAUUGAUCCCAUAAGCGAUACUACGGCUGGCGGGGGCUGCUCUAAGAGCCCCUGAGUCCUACGCUCGACCUUCGCGACCACUCGCCCAGCGCAGAGCUUGCUGUGGCGAGGGGAGUGAUUCUCACUUAGCGACGGUCUCGACCCAGAAAACAUUCAUCCUGGACUCUAUCGGACUCCGGACCUUCCCCCGUCCUCCCGGCUGCACAGGUGCACCGUCCCCGCUUCGCUCAGAGCGCUACCUGCUUCCUUCCAGUGAGGCCUUCAUCAAGCUUCUUGAUCCUCUUGGCUAAGUUGUGAGCAGCCUGGGUUCAUAUACUUCCUCCAUAUCCUUAUUCUUUCAUUAGUGCACUCGUCAUUCCGCUCAACAUACACUUAUUGAACAUUUCCAAUGUACCCAACAAUGUGUUAGGUACUGUGUUAGGUACCCAACAAUACUGUCAGGCAGUAGUGUUUUUUCUCCUUACUCCAUACUUUGGUUGGGGGGAAAAAUCCAUGUCAGUAACAAGAGUCAAAUUAUAUUGUAGUGACCUAUCUGGUUAAUUUACUUGUGGUUUCUCUUGUGGAGGGUUUACUGUUUCAAAAAUAAUCCACCUUCAGACAAGAUACCUCACUCCCACGGAGAUCAUACUCUGAGUAAGCAAGAAAGCAAAAUAGUAAAGUACAGUGAUGCCUGCUUGGAAUCUAAAAGAGAAAUGGGACCGAAUGACUGGGGUGCUCACCACCAUGAGUGGUUUGGGAAGACUUUAAACCACUAGGUUACCUUCCUGAACCUAGAAUUAUUAUUAGAUAUAGAAUGGGUACAUUUUCUUGAAUCAAAGACUAUGGUUAAGAAAAACUAUAGAACCCUUAAACUCAUGUGUUCUCCCACAUUUUAUCCAUCCCCAAGCUCUCAGGAUUCAGCCUCUUACAGAGAUCUUGGAAUAUUCAUCAUUUCUCCACCUUCACUGUGUCCACCAAGGUCCAAGAUACCGGUAUUCCAGUUCUACUCUUACUCCUCUCUACUCCAGAUUGAGUUUUAAAAAGUAUUAAUUGGCUCAUCUUAUAUACAGAGAGAGAGAGAGAGACAUACACAGCAUAAAUCUUUCAGUGAUUUACAUUGCAGUCAGUAUAAAAUACAAACUCUCUAGUGACCUCUUAAUUAUCUCCCUUACCCUUCUACAACCUCUCCUAUGGCCAUUUUUGCCAUGACUCCUUAUGUUCCAGCACAAGAGUAACCUUCCCUUCUUCUAUUUCUCUUCCCUUUGCAUAUGUCCUCCACUGGGAGGACUCUUCCCUUUCUACACAUCCUUUAGGGUGUAAAGAAGACUCCCCUGACCCAUUCCAGUCAACAAGAUUAGACUCACCCUGUCUCUGUUUUUCUCUUUUUUUUCUAAUUUUGUUAUCAUGUCUAAAUUUGUUUUAAUUUUUUUUAUCAUAGCCCUAUCCAAUUUUAUUUGCAUAUUUAUUGAAGGGUGACUUGUUUAAUAACUUUCUUCCAUUCAGAAUAUAAUGGCCAUGAAGAGAGGGCUCAUGUCUGGCUUUUCUGUUUACUGGAUAGUCAGCUCCAGCCCAGGAAUGAGCAUAAGGUACCAAGGCAUGGAGAAAAAGGCACACUCAUUUUCAGAAUAAAAGUAUGCAUCAGUUCACCAUUUUGUCACAACCCCUGUUGGAACUAAAUAACAUGGCAACACCCAGCCACAAUAGUGAUUAAGAAGUAGUAAUCUUCAGAGAAGGAGAGGCAGAGGAAGCAGGAGAGAGAGAAUCUUAUGCAGGCCCUACACCCAGUGCAGAGCCCAACACAGAGCUCAAUCUCAGAAUUCUGUAUUCAGAACACAGUAGCCAUAACAAAAGAAGAGAUCUUGCCACUUGUGACAACAUGGAUGAACCUAGAAGGUUUUGGCAAGAUAGCAGUAACAACACACACAAUCUCAGCGUUCUUUCAGCUAAUGUGUCCCAACUCACCAUGCUUAUCUCCAGAACUCUCCAGAGGUUCCCAAGAGUGUAAGAGAAGUUAAAGAAUAACCAGCUCUACAACCACGAUUGGAGAGAGAGAGCACGAGUGGGAGGGACCGAGCUUGGAGCCAGAAACGGGCUGGAUCUCAUGACCCUGGGAUCAUGACUGAGCUGAAACCAGGAGUCAGAUGCUUAAUCAACUGUGCCACCCAGGCAUCCAGAGAAAAUUAUUUUCUUCAUGUGUAACCUCUGAAGGGGUGUUUAGAGAAAAGAUUUCCAGAUGCCCACACAAGAAAACUUUUGCUUGUGAAUAAUUUCUAUGAUAAUUAAAUUCAUUUCUAGAAUGCUAUCAACUAAUGGUUCUUAUUAAGCCAUUUUACAGUUUUGAGUUGAUAAUAAAAUAUGCUAUUUCUGAGCUAUGAUUCUUGUAAUAGUCUCUUACAAAUUGAACAUAUUUUUUGUCUAAUGUUACAAUUUUUGUGUGUGUUUUUAGAUUCUCGAUUGCACUCUUAGCUAAUUACAAUUUAAAAAAUACUGCCUUUUUUAUGAACUUGGCAAGUCUAAGGUUUUCUCUAUAAUUCAAUAAUCAAUUUGAGUGAAUUUAUUUUGGCAUCAUAUGGAAUUAGUCUAAAUGAUCUUUUGUUAAGGUUAGGUUCAGCUUACAUAACAAAAUUUAAUUUCAGAAAUGUAGCUCCAUUCACCCAUUUAAUUGAUUCUGUUUGCCCAAAAUAUGAACUAAUAUAAUUAGUGAACUGUAUUCAUUAGAAAGUAAAAAAAGUCAAAAUAAUUUCCUGAUUUGAUUAUUAGUGAUAUCAUUAUAUGUUCUUGUCAGUUUCUGCCUAUAAAACUAUAUAAAGGAAAAUAAAAUUAUAGAUAAAGCAUUUUCUUAGACAAUCACAUGAGGUUCCUUCUAAGUCAUUCAGUAGCUACUCAGAAAACUGCUAUUUUGAUUGAA